The sequence is a small nucleolar RNA, 71 nucleotides long. Its record names the gene SNORD58. It matches the Rfam family "Small nucleolar RNA SNORD58". Rfam says of the family: snoRNA U58 is found in introns 1, 3 and 6 of the ribosomal protein RPL17 gene in humans. U58 is a member of the C/D class of snoRNA which contain C (UGAUGA) and D (CUGA) box motifs. Most of the members of the box C/D family function in directing site-specific 2'-O-methylation of substrate RNAs. The record is from Ensembl.
UUGCAAUGAUGACAAUCUUAGGACACCUUUGGAAUUUAACAUGAAAACAAAACCGUACCUAUCUGAGCAAC